ACCACCUGAUCCCUUCCCGAACUCAGAAGUGAAACCUCUUAGCGCUGAUGGUAGUGUGGCACUUGCCAUGUGAGAGUAAGUCAUCGCCAGCUU
This 93-nucleotide ribosomal RNA is filed under the name Acinetobacter sp. neg1. Lineage: Bacteria; Pseudomonadati; Pseudomonadota; Gammaproteobacteria; Moraxellales; Moraxellaceae. The record is from RNAcentral.